Molecule: unclassified non-coding RNA, 221 nt
Filed under: uncultured Tomentella
Lineage: Eukaryota; Fungi; Basidiomycota; Agaricomycetes; Thelephorales; Thelephoraceae
Description: sequence contains ITS2
Source: RNAcentral
ACACCUCAACUCUCAUGGCUUUGCCAUGGUGAGCUUGGACUUUGGGGGUCUUGCUGGCCUGCGGUCAGCUCCUCUCAAAUGAAUCAGCUUGCCAGUGUUUGGUGGCGUCGCGGGUGUGAUAAUUAUCUACGCUCGUGGUUUUCCACCAGGUAACCUCCAGUGAUAUGGAGGUUCGCUGGAGCUCAUAAACGUCUCUCCUCAGCGAGGACAGCUUUUUGAAC